UACGUAAGGAGCGAACGUUAUCCGGAAUCACUGGGCGUAAAGCGUCUGUAGGUGGUUUAGUAAGUCGACUGUUAAAUCUUGGGGCUCAACCUCAAAAUCGCAUUCGAAACUACUAGACUUGAGUAUAGUAGAGGUAAAGGGAAUUUCCAGUGGAGCGGUGAAAUGCGUAGAUAUUGGAAAGAACACCGAUGGCGAAGGCACUUUACUGGGCUAUUACUGACACUCAGAGACGAAAGCUAGGGUAGCAAAUGGG
RNAcentral lists this ribosomal RNA (253 nucleotides) under uncultured bacterium. RNAcentral describes it as "partial 16S ribosomal RNA". It matches the Rfam family "Bacterial small subunit ribosomal RNA", at positions 524 to 776 of the family's 1533-position model. The record is from RNAcentral.